UAGGGAAUCUUGCGCAAUGGGCGAAAGCCUGACGCAGCGACGCCGCGUGGGGGAUGAAGGUCUUCGGAUCGUAAACCCCUGUCUUUGGGAGCGAAGCAUGACGGUACCCAAGGAGGAAGCCCCGGCUAACUACGUGCCAGCAGCCGCGGUAAAACGUAGGGGCGAGCGUUGUCCGGAAUUACUGGGCGUAAAGGGUGCGUAGGCGGCCGCUUAAGUCCUGUGUGAAAGGCCCCGGCUUAACCGGGGAGGGUCAUGGGAAACUGGGCGGCUUGAGUGCCGGAGAGGGUGGCGGAAUUCCCGGUGUAGCGGUGAAAUGCGUAGAGAUCGGGAGGAACACCAGUGGCGAAGGCGGCCACCUGGACGGUAACUGACGCUGAGGCACGACAGCUGGGGGAGCAAACAGGAUUAGAUACC
RNAcentral lists this ribosomal RNA (414 nucleotides) under uncultured bacterium. RNAcentral describes it as "bacterial SSU rRNA". It matches the Rfam family "Bacterial small subunit ribosomal RNA", at positions 355 to 786 of the family's 1533-position model. The record is from RNAcentral.